AGAAACACAGCCUGUGUUUGGGACCUGAGCCAGAGAGAUGAACCAAGGAAACAUGCCCUGACUCUGAAACCUGUACCAAAGGAACACUCUUGGCCCCUAGAAUCAGAGUCAGUGUGGCCUGGCCUUAGAGGUAGUGUCAAAAAGCUAAGUAAAGUCAGUGAGAGAAACACAGUUUAGCUCAGAUCAGAGCCAUCUCUGUUCCUGUCCAACUGACUUGUGAAACCAACCAAUCACGGAGCAGCAUAGUAGAACCCUGGGCCCAUGGUUGACUCCACCCCCUAGACUUCCUGUGAAAAACCGCCCUGCCUAGUCAGUUAAAAAGGGAGCCUGUUCUCUCCCCCUGGUAGAGGCAGCUACUCUCCUGGACUCCUCCUUCCCAAAUAAACUUCUUCCUCAAAAGAGCUUUUUGGGUGUGAAGAUCUUCAUUCAUUGGCUUAGAGAAGAUCCUUGCUGAGAUGUCCCCAGAUGGAUGAGAGAAAGCUGAAAGAGCAGGGCAAGGAGGAGCUGAACAGAAGUUCUUUGCUAAGACAUCGCUCAGUGGACAGAGAGAACUAUAAGUAACACUUUUCUCUGGAGCAGGAGGAGAUUGCUACAUUUCUGCAGGGGUUUCCCCUUUCACAGAGUGAAGCAAAAGAAGCAACAUCUUAGGAAGCAGAGCUCUGCUAAGAAGUCCCCUUAUGCUCAGCUGUAGAGACUCUGAAGGAGAGUAGCAGGAUUGCUAUAUCCUACAGGGAGACCAUCCUCCAUCACACCAGAGAAUGAAACAAGAAAUUUCAGCUCAGAGAACAUCAGGAACUUGCCUAAGCCUGUCACCUUCAAAGUUGAAAAGAAGUCUCAUCGGUUUUAAAUAAUCUGCUCUCGGUUAUCUAUAUUCAUUUCCGCACUCGUCUUCUCCAUACUCCAUCAGCAGGGGAUUAAAUUCUUCCACUUGCCUAUGUUCUCGGCUCUGCCUGGCAUGAGAGUACAUGCCUAUAGCCCCGGAAGGAGAAGUAGAGGCAAGAGGAUCAGAAGUUGAAGGUAAUCAUUAGUUACAGAGGAAGUUCAAGCCAGGCUAUGCAAGGCUCUCUCAAAGACUCAGACAACCACAACAAAACAAAACACACAGUCUUCCCACUGGA
This is a long non-coding RNA of Peromyscus eremicus (cactus mouse), 1118 nucleotides long. RefSeq lists it as uncharacterized. The record is from RefSeq and is a predicted model, not a curated record. NCBI's taxonomy places the organism in Eukaryota, Metazoa, Chordata, Mammalia, Rodentia, Cricetidae. The transcript has 3 exons.